This 1424-nucleotide ribosomal RNA is filed under the name uncultured organism. RNAcentral's name for it is "16S ribosomal RNA". It matches the Rfam family "Bacterial small subunit ribosomal RNA". The record is from RNAcentral.
GCGGCGUGCUUAACACAUGCAAGUCGAGCGAUGAAGUUUCCUUCGGGAAACGGAUUAGCGGCGGACGGGUGAGUAACACGUGGGUAACCUGCCUCAUAGAGUGGAAUAGCCUUCCGAAAGGAAGAUUAAUACCGCAUAAUGUUGAAAGAUGGCAUCAUCAUUCAACCAAAGGAGCAAUCCGCUAUGAGAUGGACCCGCGGCGCAUUAGCUAGUUGGUGGGGUAACGGCCUACCAAGGCGACGAUGCGUAGCCGACCUGAGAGGGUGAUCGGCCACAUUGGGACUGAGACACGGCCCAGACUCCUACGGGAGGCAGCAGUGGGGAAUAUUGCACAAUGGGGGAAACCCUGAUGCAGCAACGCCGCGUGAGUGAUGAAGGUUUUCGGAUCGUAAAGCUCUGUCUUUGGGGAAGAUAAUGACGGUACCCAAGGAGGAAGCCACGGCUAACUACGUGCCAGCAGCCGCGGUAAUACGUAGGUGGCGAGCGUUAUCCGGAUUUACUGGGCGUAAAGGGAGCGUAGGCGGAUGAUUAAGUGGGAUGUGAAAUACCCGGGCUCAACUUGGGUGCUGCAUUCCAAACUGGUUAUCUAGAGUGCAGGAGAGGAGAGUGGAAUUCCUAGUGUAGCGGUGAAAUGCGUAGAGAUUAGGAAGAACACCAGUGGCGAAGGCGACUCUCUGGACUGUAACUGACGCUGAGGCUCGAAAGCGUGGGGAGCAAAACAGGAUUAGAUACCCCUGGUAGUCCACGCCGUAAACGAUGAAUACUAGGUGUGGGGGUUUCAACACCUCCCGUGCCGCCGCUAACGCAUUAAGUAUUCCGCCUGGGGAGUACGGUCGCAAGAUUAAAACUCAAAGGAAUUGACGGGGACCCGCACAAGUAGCGGAGCAUGUGGUUUAAUUCGAAGCAACGCGAAGAACCUUACCUACACUUGACAUCCCUUGCAUUACUCUUAAUCGAGGAAAUCCCUUCGGGGACAAGGUGACAGGUGGUGCAUGGUUGUCGUCAGCUCGUGUCGUGAGAUGUUGGGUUAAGUCCCGCAACGAGCGCAACCCUUGUCGUUAGUUACUACCAUUAAGUUGAGGACUCUAGCGAGACUGCCUGGGUUAACCAGGAGGAAGGUGGGGAUGACGUCAAAUCAUCAUGCCCCUUAUGUGUAGGGCUACACACGUGCUACAAUGGCUGGUACAGAGAGAUGCAAUACCGCGAGGUGGAGCCAAACUUAAAAACCAGUCUCAGUUCGGAUUGUAGGCUGAAACUCGCCUACAUGAAGCUGGAGUUACUAGUAAUCGCGAAUCAGAAUGUCGCGGUGAAUACGUUCCCGGGUCUUGUACACACCGCCCGUCACACCAUGAGAGUUGGCAAUACCCGAAGUCCGUGAGCUAACCGCAAGGAGGCAGCGGCCGAAGGUAGGGUCAGCGAUUGGG